RNAcentral lists this transfer RNA (76 nucleotides) under Rhodospirillales bacterium. Its description in RNAcentral is "tRNA-Thr". It matches the Rfam family "tRNA". Rfam says of the family: Transfer RNA (tRNA) molecules are approximately 80 nucleotides in length. Their secondary structure includes four short double-helical elements and three loops (D, anti-codon, and T loops). Further hydrogen bonds mediate the characteristic L-shaped molecular structure. tRNAs have two regions of fundamental functional importance: the anti-codon, which is responsible for specific mRNA codon recognition, and the 3' end, to which the tRNAs corresponding amino acid is attached (by aminoacyl-tRNA synthetases). tRNAs cope with the degeneracy of the genetic code in two manners: having more than one tRNA (with a specific anti-codon) for a particular amino acid; and 'wobble' base-pairing, i.e. permitting non-standard base-pairing at the 3rd anti-codon position. Lineage: Bacteria; Pseudomonadati; Pseudomonadota; Alphaproteobacteria; Rhodospirillales. The record is from RNAcentral.
GCCCGGUUAGCUCAACUGGUAGAGCACCUGAUUUGUAAUCAGGGGGUUGGGGGUUCGAGUCCCUCACCGGGCACCA